This 472-nucleotide ribosomal RNA is filed under the name uncultured bacterium. Its description in RNAcentral is "bacterial SSU rRNA". It matches the Rfam family "Bacterial small subunit ribosomal RNA", at positions 331 to 795 of the family's 1533-position model. The record is from RNAcentral.
CCAGACUCCUACGGGAGGCAGCAGUGGGGAAUAUUGCACAAUGGGCGCAAGCCUGAUGCAGCCAUGCCGCGUUUAUGAAGAAGGCCUUCGGGUUGUAAAGUACUUUCAGCGGGGAGGAAGGCGAUAAGGUUAAUAACCUUGUCGAUUGACGUUACCCGCAGAAGAAGCACCGUCUAACUCCGUGCCAGCAGCCGCGGUAAUACGUAGGGUGCAAGCGUUAAUCGGAAUUACUGGGCGUAAAGCGCACGCAGGGGGUCUGUCAAGUAGGAUGUGAAAACCCCGGGCUCAACCUGGGAACUGCAUUCGAAACUGGCAGGCUGGAGUCUUGUAGAGGGGGGUAGAAUUCCAGGUGUAGCGGUGAAAUGCGUAGAGAUCUGGAGGAAUACCGGUGGCGAAGGCGGCCCCCUGGACAAAGACUGACGCUCGGGUGCGAAAGCGUGGGGAGCAAACAGGAUUAGAUACCCCAGUAUAC